GUGGGGAAUCUUGCGCAAUGGGCGAAAGCCUGACGCAGCCAUGCCGCGUGAAUGAUGAAGGUCUUAGGAUUGUAAAAUCCUUUCACCGGGGACGAUAAUGACGGUACCCGGAGAAGAAGCCCCGGCUAACUUCGUGCCAGCAGCCGCGGUAAUACGAAGGGGGCUAGCGUUGCUCGGAAUUACUGGGCGUAAAGGGCGCGUAGGCGGACAGCUUAGUCAGAGGUGAAAGCCCAGGGCUCAACCUUGGAAUUGCCUUUGAUACUGGCUGUCUUGAGUUUGGGAGAGGUGAGUGGAACUCCGAGUGUAGAGGUGAAAUUCGUAGAUAUUCGGAAGAACACCAGUGGCGAAGGCGACUCACUGGCCCAAUACUGACGCUGAGGCGCGAAAGCGUGGGGAGCAAACAGGAUUAGAAACCCUAGUAGUCC
RNAcentral lists this ribosomal RNA (425 nucleotides) under uncultured bacterium. RNAcentral describes it as "partial 16S ribosomal RNA". It matches the Rfam family "Bacterial small subunit ribosomal RNA", at positions 354 to 796 of the family's 1533-position model. The record is from RNAcentral.